ACAAAACUAGAGGAUGAGUGAUCAAUAAAUGAUUGCCACGUAGCAUUGAGUAUUUUACACUCAUCUGUGCAUGUUUAUUGAUUUAGUGCAAUACACCCAUAAUAGCCAAGUAUUUUCCAACCAUUUCUGCAUGCCUCACUAAUGAUCUUAAGUACUGUCCAACUAUUUAUUGCAUAUCAAAAUAUACAGAUCAAAUGAUUAGGGAUGGCAGGCGUUUAAGCAUCAUAGAUACAAACAAGACUAUCCUCUUCCAGACCAGCCAAAACUAAGGCCCCUCA
RNAcentral lists this unclassified non-coding RNA (278 nucleotides) under Hevea brasiliensis (rubber tree). Lineage: Eukaryota; Viridiplantae; Streptophyta; Magnoliopsida; Malpighiales; Euphorbiaceae. The record is from RNAcentral.